UACGGAGGGUGCGAGCGUUAAUCGGAAUAACUGGGCGUAACGGGCACGCAGGCGGGCUUUUAAGUGAGAUGUGAGAUCCCCGGGCUUAACCUGGGAAUAGCAUUUCAGACUGGGAGUCUAGAGUACUUUAGGGAGGGGUAGAAUUCCACGCGUAGCGGUGAAAUGCGUAGAGAUGUGGAGGAAUACCGAAGGCGAAGGCAGCCCCUUGGGAAUGUACUGACGCCCAUGUGCGAAAGCGUGGGGAGCAACCAGG
This 253-nucleotide ribosomal RNA is filed under the name uncultured bacterium. Its description in RNAcentral is "partial 16S ribosomal RNA". It matches the Rfam family "Bacterial small subunit ribosomal RNA", at positions 524 to 776 of the family's 1533-position model. The record is from RNAcentral.